UGAACGCUAGCUACAGGCUUAACACAUGCAAGUCGAGGGGCAGCAUUUUAGUUUGCUUGCAAACUGAAGAUGGCGACCGGCGCACGGGUGAGUAACACGUAUCCAACCUACCGAUAACUCCGGAAUAGCCUUUCGAAAGAAAGAUUAAUACCGGAUAGCAUACGAAUAUCGCAUGAUAUUUUUAUUAAAGAAUUUCGGUUAUCGAUGGGGAUGCGUUCCAUUAGUUUGUUGGCGGGGUAACGGCCCACCAAGACUACGAUGGAUAGGGGUUCUGAGAGGAAGGUCCCCCACAUUGGAACUGAGACACGGUCCAAACUCCUACGGGAGGCAGCAGUGAGGAAUAUUGGUCAAUGGGCGAGAGCCUGAACCAGCCAAGUAGCGUGAAGGAUGAAGGCUCUAUGGGUCGUAAACUUCUUUUAUAUGGGAAUAAAGUUUUCCACGUGUGGAAUUUUGUAUGUACCAUAUGAAUAAGGAUCGGCUAACUCCGUGCCAGCAGCCGCGGUAAUACGGAGGAUCCGAGCGUUAUCCGGAUUUAUUGGGUUUAAAGGGAGCGUAGGUGGAUUGUUAAGUCAGUUGUGAAAGUUUGCGGCUCAACCGUAAAAUUGCAGUUGAAACUGGCAGUCUUGAGUACAGUAGAGGUGGGCGGAAUUCGUGGUGUAGCGGUGAAAUGCUUAGAUAUCACGAAGAACUCCGAUUGCGAAGGCAGCUCACUAGACUGUCACUGACACUGAUGCUCGAAAGUGUGGGUAUCAAACAGGAUUAGAUACCCUGGUAGUCCACACAGUAAACGAUGAAUACUCGCUGUUUGCGAUAUACAGUAAGCGGCCAAGCGAAAGCAUUAAGUAUUCCACCUGGGGAGUACGCCGGCAACGGUGAAACUCAAAGGAAUUGACGGGGGCCCGCACAAGCGGAGGAACAUGUGGUUUAAUUCGAUGAUACGCGAGGAACCUUACCCGGGCUUAAAUUGCAACAGAAUAUAUUGGAAACAGUAUAGCCGUAAGGCUGUUGUGAAGGUGCUGCAUGGUUGUCGUCAGCUCGUGCCGUGAGGUGUCGGCUUAAGUGCCAUAACGAGCGCAACCCUUAUCUUUAGUUACUAACAGGUUAUGCUGAGGACUCUAGAGAGACUGCCGUCGUAAGAUGUGAGGAAGGUGGGGAUGACGUCAAAUCAGCACGGCCCUUACGUCCGGGGCUACACACGUGUUACAAUGGGGGGUACAGAAGGCGGCUACCUGGUGACAGGAUGCUAAUCCCAAAAACCUCUCUCAGUUCGGAUCGAAGUCUGCAACCCGACUUCGUGAAGCUGGAUUCGCUAGUAAUCGCGCAUCAGCCAUGGCGCGGUGAAUACGUUCCCGGGCCUUGUACACACCGCCCGUCAAGCCAUGAAAGCCGGGGGUACCUGAAGUACGUAACCGCAAGGAGCGUCCUAGGGUAAAACUGGUAAUUGGGGCUA
RNAcentral lists this ribosomal RNA (1450 nucleotides) under uncultured organism. RNAcentral describes it as "SSU rRNA". It matches the Rfam family "Bacterial small subunit ribosomal RNA". The record is from RNAcentral.